UUCUAGGGAGGUACAUAGCACACCAUUGUAAAUCAUCAUUUUUAUUAUAAAUUCUAUUAUAGAAUACAUAUAAAAUGUGAUAUUAUUUUUAGUAUUUAGUGAUCUGUAUUGCAGGAAUUAGUGAAAACAAACUGCCCAGAAUCUUCAGAUUUGUUUUAGAAAAUGCUCAGAAUCUCCAGAUCUGUUCACGUUUUCGAUUCAGAUGGUGGUGACGAUGGUGGAGAUGGUGGAGUUGAAGGUGGAGAUGGUGGAGGUGAAGGUGGAGAUGGAGGAAGGAUGAUUGUAGUGGAGGUCUGGGCGGCUUGAAGUAGGGGACUGGAGCAUUGCCCGAAUAGUAGCGGCACCGCCGCGUUUUGAAGUUGAGCCCAGGUGGAGAAAGAAGUAUGAACGAGGCUCAAGGAGGUUGAAGCAGCGACCAAGAUGGGGCUGGUGAAAAUGGAGGUGGAGAUUGUGUUGUUAGAGAAAUAAUGGAGGUGGAGAUGGAGAUGGUGGUUAUGGAGGGGGUGAGCGACAUAGAGGUAUGGUGGUGGUUAUGGAGGAGGCGACGACAGAGGUGGUGGUAGUGGCGGAUGCGGAGGUGGGUUUGGUGAAGAUGGAGGUGGAGAUGGAGUUCUUUAAAAAUUUAGUGGUAUUCGUUUUAAGAUUUAGUGAUAUUCUAACUUAGUUUUUAGUUUUUAGAAUAAGGAGGUUUUUAUUAGAAUAGAAUUCUAUAUAUAUAUAUAUAUGUGUGUGUGGGGGGGGGAUCAAUGGGUAACCUCUUAAUGUGUAUAACUUGACAUGAAGAGUUUUGUUACAUACAACUACUUAUCCCUUGUAACUGUUUUAACCAAAUACAUGUUAAAACACGUGGCCCACCUUAAAUGAUGAACACAAAAACUUACCUAACAAAUGCAUUAAUUCUGUAAUUUAUUGGAUACAUAACUGUGGAAAGAAAAAAAAAACAAAAAAAACUGUUAUCAAACAAAUAAUAUAUAGCACAUAUGGAAACUGAAAAAUGCAUAAUAAACUCAAAUCUCUUAUAUAUAAUAAAAAGAUAUAGUAUAAUACUAAACAUCAAAAUAAUAACAUGAAAAAUAUAAAUUAUUCUAUUUUUUUAAUUAAUUUGUACACUUUUUGUAAAUUUUAUAUAUUUGUGUGUGUUCUGUAUAUUUUUUGUAGCCUUUAACUAUAUUUGUUGUUAUUUAUUUUUUAUUACUAUAUUCGGUAAUUAUUUUAGAUUUUAAAUGAUAUGUUUUACAUACAAAUAUUUAUCUCCUAUUAUAAUUUAAAUUUGUUUAUUUAUUAUAUUAAAUUUAAAUGCAUGUACAUUAUAUAUCUUUUUUAUUUAAUAUUUCCUACAUAGUUUGGUGAUGUAUUUCUUUUAGUAUUCAAUAAUUUUUUAAAAAUUUUACAAUUAUUCUUUUUGAAUGUAUCUUAUAAUUAUUUUUGUAAUAAUCUUAAUUUUCAUAUUUAUUAUAUUAUAUUAUAAAUAUAAAAUUUAUAUGUAAAAAUAUUUUAUUUAUGUCAAAUGUGUUAUGUAUAUGUUCCAAUUUUUUUAUACAUUGUUUAUGUUACGUAUUUCUUCCAGUCAUCUGGAGAUUUUCUGAAAGUUCUUUAAAUUUUUUGCUCUCAGUGUACAGUGUUAUUAUAUGUGUUCAUAAAUCUUAGUAUGUCGGUGAGUAUUCGGUAGUAUUCUUUUCGUUCUACAGAAUUAAAAAAAAAAGGUUAUGAUUUAACCGUACCAAUAAUACUUUGCUAGAUUUUAGGAAGGUCAAGUCUGUGUACCAUGUAAUCUAUGUACAUUAUAAAUCCUCUAGCAUCUAGAAGACUCAAUUAUGAAAAGAUAUAAAUUCUGAUGAUCUCAACAAGAAAACCUUUGAUGAUAUGAGAUUUUGUUAUCAAUAUUUAAAAUCAGGAUUUUCUCUCAGAGUUAUAUGAAGAUCAGAGUUUAUCAAAUGCUGAGUAUAUCAAAGUUUGCUGAUAGAGGAUAUUCUUCAGAGUUUGUCAAAACUGGUUUUCAAGAGUGAAUUAGUUCUAAAUAUUAAAGAUAUAUAGUUUAGAGAUUUAACAACUCAGGACUUUAGUAGGUUUAUACUCCAUCACUAAUUGAUAUAUGGGGUUUUUUCAUAAAUAUAUAGGAAAAAGUAAAUUUUUGCAAAUUUACUUUUCUCAAGAAUAGCUAUUUGCAGUUUUACUACACUAAGUUUCUAAAUUGCAAAAAUACUACCCCUCCCUUCUGCAACUGAAUGCAACCACAUGUUGAAGGUGGAGAUGGUGGAGGUGAAGGUGGAGAUGGAGGAAGGAUGAUUGUAGUGGAGGUCUGGGCGGCUUGAAGUAGGGGACUGGAGCAUUGCCCGAAUAGUAGCGGCACCGCCGCGUUUUGAAGUUGAGCCCAGGUGGAGAAAGAAGUAUGAACGAGGCUCAAGGAGGUUGAAGCAGCGACCAAGAUGGGGCUGGUGAAAAUGGAGGUGGAGAUUGUGUUGUUAGAGAAAUAAUGGAGGUGGAGAUGGAGAUGGUGGUUAUGGAGGGGGUGAGCGACAUAGAGGUAUGGUGGUGGUUAUGGAGGAGGCGACGACAGAGGUGGUGGUAGUGGCGGAUGCGGAGGUGGGUUUGGUGAAGAUGGAGGUGGAGAUGGAGUUCUUUAAAAAUUUAGUGGUAUUCGUUUUAAGAUUUAGUGAUAUUCUAACUUAGUUUUUAGUUUUUAGAAUAAGGAGGUUUUUAUUAGAAUAGAAUUCUAUAUAUAUAUAUAUAUGUGUGUGUGGGGGGGGGAUCAAUGGGUAACCUCUUAAUGUGUAUAACUUGACAUGAAGAGUUUUGUUACAUACAACUACUUAUCCCUUGUAACUGUUUUAACCAAAUACAUGUUAAAACACGUGGCCCACCUUAAAUGAUGAACACAAAAACUUACCUAACAAAUGCAUUAAUUCUGUAAUUUAUUGGAUACAUAACUGUGGAAAGAAAAAAAAAACAAAAAAAACUGUUAUCAAACAAAUAAUAUAUAGCACAUAUGGAAACUGAAAAAUGCAUAAUAAAC
This 3013-nucleotide long non-coding RNA is filed under the name Daucus carota (carrot). RNAcentral's name for it is "long non-coding RNA (DCAR_LNC002738)". The record is from RNAcentral. Lineage: Eukaryota; Viridiplantae; Streptophyta; Magnoliopsida; Apiales; Apiaceae.